Molecule: ribosomal RNA, 234 nt
Filed under: uncultured bacterium
Lineage: Bacteria
Description: partial 16S ribosomal RNA
Rfam family: Bacterial small subunit ribosomal RNA
Source: RNAcentral
GGCGGACGGGUGAGUAACGCGUGGGUAACCUGCCUCAUACAGGGGGAUAACGAGUAGAAGGCUGCUAAUACCGCAUAAGCGCACAGUACCGCAUGGUACGUGUGAAAAACUCCGGUGGUAUGAGAUGGACCCGCGUCUGAUUAGCUAGUUGGUGGGGUAACGGCCCACCAAGGCGACGAUCAGUAGCCGACCUGAGAGGGUGACCGGCCACAUUGGGACUGAGACACGGCCCAG